RNAcentral lists this transfer RNA (71 nucleotides) under Loxodonta africana (African savanna elephant). It matches the Rfam family "tRNA". From Rfam's summary of the family: Transfer RNA (tRNA) molecules are approximately 80 nucleotides in length. The record is from Rfam by way of RNAcentral. Lineage: Eukaryota; Metazoa; Chordata; Mammalia; Proboscidea; Elephantidae.
GUAGUGGUGGUUCAGUAGUAGAACUCUCACCUUUCAUGUAGGAGACACAAGUUUGAUCCCUGACCAAUGUA